UGGGGAAUAUUGCACAAUGGGCGCAAGCCUGAUGCAGCCAUGCCGCGUGUGUGAAGAAGGCCUUCGGGUUGUAAAGCACUUUCAGCGGGGAGGAAGGCGGUGAGGUUAAUAACCUCAUCGAUUGACGUUACCCGCAGAAGAAGCACCGGCUAACUCCGUGCCAGCAGCCGCGGUAAUACGGAGGGUGCAAGCGUUAAUCGGAAUUACUGGGCGUAAAGCGCACUCAGGCGGUCUGUCAAGUCGGAUGUGAAAUCCCCGGGCUCAACCUGGGAACUGCAUUCGAAACUGGCAGGCUAGAGUCUUGUAGAGGGGGGUAGAAUUCCAGGUGUAGCGGUGAAAUGCGUAGAGAUCUGGAGGAAUACCGGUGGCGAAGGCGGCCCCCUGGACAAAGACUGACGCUCAGGUGCGAAAGCGUGGGGAGCAAACAGG
Molecule: ribosomal RNA, 429 nt
Filed under: Chloroflexota bacterium
Lineage: Bacteria; Bacillati; Chloroflexota
Description: Chloroflexi bacterium partial 16S ribosomal RNA
Rfam family: Bacterial small subunit ribosomal RNA
Source: RNAcentral